Molecule: long non-coding RNA, 210 nt
Filed under: Elaeis guineensis (African oil palm)
Lineage: Eukaryota; Viridiplantae; Streptophyta; Magnoliopsida; Arecales; Arecaceae
Description: long non-coding RNA (EGUI_LNC070016)
Source: RNAcentral
CGGACUUCUUUAGCAAUCAGAUUCCAACCGAAUUUGUCCAACAGAAAGUUUCCGUCUGGACUUCUACAGCAGAUGACUUUCAUCUGCGGUAUCAACACCUAAGGCACCCAACAAUAGUUAACCCGUCAGUAACCUCAAAAAUAUUUGAGCUUCUCUUAGAUUGCUGAGACAGAAAGCUAUUCCCUUCCACCAGACGUCCCAACCAAGCUU